CCCUGCCAUUUGUACACACCGCCCGUCGCUCCUACCGAUUUCGAGUGUUCCGGUGAACCUUUCGGACCGCGCCUAGCCUCGUGCCUGGUGUGGGAAGUCAAGUAAACCAUAACACUUAGAGGAAGGAG
RNAcentral lists this ribosomal RNA (128 nucleotides) under uncultured eukaryote. RNAcentral describes it as "partial small subunit ribosomal RNA". It matches the Rfam family "Eukaryotic small subunit ribosomal RNA", at positions 1651 to 1785 of the family's 1831-position model. The record is from RNAcentral.